RNAcentral lists this ribosomal RNA (428 nucleotides) under uncultured bacterium. RNAcentral's name for it is "bacterial SSU rRNA". It matches the Rfam family "Bacterial small subunit ribosomal RNA", at positions 355 to 776 of the family's 1533-position model. The record is from RNAcentral.
UGGGGAAUUGUUCGCAAUGGGCGCAAGCCUGACGACGCAAUGCCGCGUGGAGGAUGAAGGUCUUCGGAUUGUAAACUCCUGUUGCCCGGGACGAACGUCUCCGACCUAACACGUCGGAGAGUGACGGUACCGGGUGAGGAAGCCCCGGCUAACUCUGUGCCAGCAGCCGCGGUAAUACAGAGGGGGCAAGCGUUGUUCGGAAUUACUGGGCGUAAAGGGCGCGUAGGCGGCCUGCUAAGUCGAACGUGAAAUCCCCGGGCUCAACCCGGGAACUGCGUUCGAGACUGGCGGGCUUGAAUUCGGGAGAGGGAUGCGGAAUUCCAGGUGUAGCGGUGAAAUGCGUAGAUAUCUGGAGGAACACCGGUGGCGAAGGCGGCAUCCUGGACCGACAUUGACGCUGAGGCGCGAAAGCCAGGGGAGCAAACGGG